GUUAUCACAAAACCAUAGUAUUAAGCAUUCAAGUGUUUUUUGGUAACUUUUAAUUUCUUCAUUUCCAGUGUUCUGCCAAAGCUGCCCACAGUCUGUUGUUCCUGUCCUAUAUAGAAAAAUAGAGCUCUGUCCAGCUAAAUCAAGAUCGCUACUUUUCCCUCUUCCCUGGAGAAACCUGAGGAAGAAAAGUGUAUUUUUCCUCUGGAAAGCUGCUCCCAACUCUGGUUAGCUGGAGGCCCACAUUUGAAUGGCUGAAUGCUGCAGAAUCUUGGAAGGGCCUGUGUGCAGAGUAAACCACAUAACAGGUGAGGAACAAGGUGUGUGAUAUCAAACCAUCAGCUUGGUUUCCACUUUCCUGCCAGAU
RNAcentral lists this long non-coding RNA (364 nucleotides) under Zonotrichia albicollis (white-throated sparrow). RNAcentral's name for it is "lncRNA (ENSZALG00000002384.1)". The record is from RNAcentral. Lineage: Eukaryota; Metazoa; Chordata; Aves; Passeriformes; Passerellidae.